CUCGGCAACGGAUAUCUCGGCUCUCGCAUCGAUGAAGAACGUAGCGAAAUGCGAUACCUGGUGUGAAUUGCAGAAUCCCGCGAACCAUCGAGUCUUUGAACGCAAGUUGCGCCCGAGGCCAUCCGGCCGAGGGCACGCCUGCCUGGGCGUCACGCCAAAAGACG
This 164-nucleotide ribosomal RNA is filed under the name Otatea glauca. RNAcentral describes it as "5.8S ribosomal RNA". It matches the Rfam family "5.8S ribosomal RNA". Rfam says of the family: 5.8S ribosomal RNA (5.8S rRNA) is a component of the large subunit of the eukaryotic ribosome. It is transcribed by RNA polymerase I as part of the 45S precursor that also contains 18S and 28S rRNA. Functionally, it is thought that 5.8S rRNA may be involved in ribosome translocation. The record is from RNAcentral. Lineage: Eukaryota; Viridiplantae; Streptophyta; Magnoliopsida; Poales; Poaceae.